GACGAACGCUGGCGGCGUGCUUAACACAUGCAAGUCGAACGGAAAGGCCCUGCUUUCGUGGGGUGCUAGAGUGGCGAACGGGUGAGUCACACGUGAGUAACCUGCCCCUCACUUUGGGAUAACUUCAGGAAACUGGGGCAAAUACCGGAUAGGAGCUCCUGCUGCUGGGUGGGGGAUGGAAAGUUUGGGCGGGUGGGGUGGGACUGGCGGCUUAUCGGUUUGUUGGUGGGGGAGGGGCUUACCAAGGCUUUGGCGGGUAGCCGGCCUGGGGGGGUGACCGGCCACUUGGGGCCUGGGAUACGGCCCGGACUCCUCCGGGGGGCGGCAUUGGGGAUUAUUGCACAAUGGGCGGAGGCCUGAUGCAGCAACCCGCGUGGCGGGAUGCCGGCCUUCGGUUUUUAAACCGCUUUCGCCUGGGCCGAAGCGUUUGUGACGGUAAUGAGUAAAGAAGCACCGGCUAACUACGUG
RNAcentral lists this ribosomal RNA (468 nucleotides) under uncultured bacterium. Its description in RNAcentral is "partial 16S ribosomal RNA". It matches the Rfam family "Bacterial small subunit ribosomal RNA", at positions 28 to 507 of the family's 1533-position model. The record is from RNAcentral.